Long non-coding RNA from Osmerus eperlanus (European smelt), 974 nucleotides. RefSeq lists it as uncharacterized. The record is from RefSeq and is a predicted model, not a curated record. NCBI's taxonomy places the organism in Eukaryota, Metazoa, Chordata, Actinopteri, Osmeriformes, Osmeridae. The transcript has 2 exons.
CCACUCAAAAUUGAUUUCACUUGUUUGAAAUGAUGUGACACAACCAAUAUAAGCCAGUUCAGAGAGCAAACAGGUUGUUGAAGGUGGGAAAAUAUUGCUUGUGAUGUCGACGAAGUGCUCUGGCCUGACCCAGCCCAAAGACAAGAAGAAGCACAUUGAUCACAUGUUUACUCCUUAGAUUUGUGUCCCUUUUACUGUAUAGUAUUGUAUACUGUAGUACAGUGCAUUGUAGGCUGUAUACUGUGCAAUGAACAAAUGGUAUGGCCCUGAACAUUGUGCUUUCCAUUUGUUACAGUAACAGUACUGACUGCUCAAUAGAUUUGGACUGGUUGCAGGUUCAUAUCAACAAAGAACAAGAGUGAGUUGUGAGUCGUGAGAUGCAGGGUACAGCACUGUAUAGGGGUACAAGGAGGAGAAAGAACAAAAUAAAUUGCAAAGAGCAAAGCAAAGUAGUAAUUUCUGAUCAAUUUUGAGCUACUAUGAUAGAACAUGUUUUCGUUCAUCAAAAGACAAUGACGGAUAAAUAUGAAAUUUGUUUUGAGAUUAAAAAUGUACUUUCCCCUGAGAACUAUAUGUUUUGAACAAUGUGUUUUCUAUUUUUUGGUGUAUUGUUUACUGACUGCUUGAUAGUGUAUAUCAUUUUGAUCACUUUGUUUAUGAUUUGAGAGCAGUGUUUGAUUUUGAGCACAGGUAAAACAGUUUUGAGGCGAAAGUUUCAUUUUGCAAGAGGAUUCAGAGGUUUUGUAAAUAGUGCUUGAAGAUGAGGUUUUGUGUUUACAGUUUUGAGAAAAUGGGUGACUGUUUCAAGAAAUGUGUUUUAGCAAUCAUGAAAAACUGUAUACCCAAAGAAUGGUGAAAAGAUGGGGACCAGAAAAGGUCUAUGUGAUGUCGGGGACAAGUUUAAUAAAAAAAAAACAAUAAAGAAGAAAAUGGUCCAUCAUUAACAAUCCAUACAAAUGCAAAAUUAUGCCUAA